AUUCCGGGGUAAGCUGGUGUUUAUAAACUAAUACAAACACCAGCUUACCCCGGAGUUU
Molecule: microRNA precursor, 58 nt
Filed under: Cordylochernes scorpioides
Lineage: Eukaryota; Metazoa; Arthropoda; Arachnida; Pseudoscorpiones; Chernetidae
Source: RNAcentral